Molecule: ribosomal RNA, 445 nt
Filed under: uncultured bacterium
Lineage: Bacteria
Description: partial 16S ribosomal RNA
Rfam family: Bacterial small subunit ribosomal RNA
Source: RNAcentral
GUGAGGAAUAUUGGUCAAUGGGCGGGAGCCUGAACCAGCCAAGUCGCGUGAAGGAAGAAGGAUCUAUGGUUCGUAAACUUCUUUUGCAGGGGAAUAAAGUGCAGGACGUGUCCUGUUUUGUAUGUACCCUGAGAAUAAGGAUCUGCUAACUCCGUGCCAGCAGCCGCGGUAAUACGUAGGAUCCGAGCGUUAUCCGGAUUUAUUGGGUUUAAAGGGUGCGUAGGUGGUUUGAUAAGUUAGCGGUGAAAGUUUGCAGCUUAACUGUAAAAAUGCCAUUGAAACUGUCGGACUUGAAUGUACAUUAGGUAGGCGAAAUGAGUGGUGUAGCGGUUAAAUGCAUAGAUAUCACGCAGAACCCCGAUUGCGAAAGCAGCUUACUAAGCUAAAACUGACACUGAAGCCCGAAAGAGUGGGGAUCAAACAGGAUUAGAUACCCCUGUAGUCC